Molecule: unclassified non-coding RNA, 800 nt
Filed under: Acromyrmex echinatior (Panamanian leafcutter ant)
Lineage: Eukaryota; Metazoa; Arthropoda; Insecta; Hymenoptera; Formicidae
Description: probable multidrug resistance-associated protein lethal(2)03659, transcript variant X1
Source: RNAcentral
CUUUAUACUACAGACAGUAUAGUUGGCAGCAAAGCAGGUCUAGCAAUAUCGCAGUUCUGAUCGUUCGUCUACAAUAUACUAUAAAACAGUCGAGUUUAGCGAGUCGGUGUCAUUGAUGACCUCCGUGGAAAGGAUUCUUCAGUACAUGAACCUUCCUAAGAAAGAACCUAUUACCUCGGACAAUCCACCGUCACCUACAUGGCCAUCCCAAGGACAAUUGAUUUUAAAGGAUGUGAACAUGAAAUAUCAUAUCGAUGAUUCACCAGUUUUGAAGGUAUAAAAUAAAUUGAAGAAUCUGAAUGCAUCCAUCGAGCCUGGCUGGAAAAUUGGGAUGGUUGGACGAAUUGACGCCGGCAAGUCCUCCUUGAUCUCGGCACUUUUCCGCUUGUUCAAUGAAGGUCUAGAAGGCGAGAUCAAAAUCGAUGGUCGGGACACAAGCACGAUGGACCUCAGUAAACUGCGCUGCAAAAUCUCCAUUAUACCUAUUAACCAUUAUACAGAAACCUGUGCUCUUUUCUGAGAGUCUAUGUUACAAUCUGAAUUUAAUCAAUACGAUGACUUCAAGCUAUGGGAGGUGUUGCGGCAAGUCCAGCUGAAUGAUGUUACACUGGACUGGAUACGAUAUCUUCAACAUCGGUCAGAGGUAACUCAUAUGCCUGGCCAGAGCCAUCUUGAAAAACAAUCGCUUGCUCGUUCUCGAUGAAGUCACGACAAUAUUGAUUCGCAGAAUUGAAAAUGUGCUUACAUAAACUUGCUAGACGACAUAUUGGAAGCACUCGGAACACCAAAGGAAUAUCAAC